RNAcentral lists this ribosomal RNA (511 nucleotides) under uncultured bacterium. RNAcentral's name for it is "bacterial SSU rRNA". It matches the Rfam family "Bacterial small subunit ribosomal RNA", at positions 791 to 1320 of the family's 1533-position model. The record is from RNAcentral.
UAGUCCACGCCGUAAACGAUGAGUGCUAGUUGUCGGGCAGCAAGCUGUUCGGUGACGCAGCUAACGCAUUAAGCACUCCGCCUGGGGAGUACGGCCGCAAGGCUAAAACUCAAAGAAAUUGACGGGGGCCCGCACAAGCGGUGGAGCAUGUGGUUUAAUUCGACGCAACGCGAAGAACCUUACCUGCCCUUGACAUGCCUCUCGCGCGGAUCAGAGAUGAACCGCUUCAGUUCGGCUGGAGAGUGCACAGGUGCUGCAUGGCUGUCGUCAGCUCGUGUCGUGAGAUGUUAGGUUAAGUCCUGUAACGAGCGCAACCCUCGCCUUUAGUUGUCAUCGGGUCGGGCCGGGCACUUUAAAGGAACUGCCGGUUUUAAGCCGGAGGAAGGUGGGGAUGACGUCAAGUCCUCAUGGCCCUUACGGGCAGGGCUACACACGUGCUACAAUGGUGGUGACAACGGGUUAAUCCCCAAAAACCACCUCAGUUCGGAUUGUUUUCUGCAACUCGAAAGCA